RNAcentral lists this non-coding RNA (875 nucleotides) under Fusarium citri. Its description in RNAcentral is "sequence contains 28S rRNA gene". It matches the Rfam family "Eukaryotic large subunit ribosomal RNA", at positions 50 to 962 of the family's 3401-position model. Lineage: Eukaryota; Fungi; Ascomycota; Sordariomycetes; Hypocreales; Nectriaceae. The record is from RNAcentral.
UCGGAGAGACAACAGGGAUUGCCCUAGUAACGGCGAGUGAAGCGGCAACAGCUCAAAUUUGAAAUCUGGCUCUCGGGCCCGAGUUGUAAUUUGUAGAGGAUACUUUUGAUGCGGUGCCUUCCGAGUUCCCUGGAACGGGACGCCAUAGAGGGUGAGAGCCCCGUCUGGUUGGAUGCCAAAUCUCUGUAAAGUUCCUUCGACGAGUCGAGUAGUUUGGGAAUGCUGCUCUAAAUGGGAGGUAUAUGUCUUCUAAAGCUAAAUACCGGCCAGAGACCGAUAGCGCACAAGUAGAGUGAUCGAAAGAUGAAAAGCACUUUGAAAAGAGAGUUAAAAAGUACGUGAAAUUGUUGAAAGGGAAGCGUUUAUGACCAGACUUGGGCUUGGUUAAUCAUCUGGGGUUCUCCCCAGUGCACUUUUCCAGUCCAGGCCAGCAUCAGUUUUCGCCGGGGGAUAAAGACUUCGGGAAUGUGGCUCUCUUCGGGGAGUGUUAUAGCCCGUUGUGUAAUACCCUGGCGGGGACUGAGGUUCGCGCAUCUGCAAGGAUGCUGGCGUAAUGGUCAUCAACGACCCGUCUUGAAACACGGACCAAGGAGUCGUCUUCGUAUGCGAGUGUUCGGGUGUCAAACCCCUACGCGUAAUGAAAGUGAACGCAGGUGAGAGCUUCGGCGCAUCAUCGACCGAUCCUGAUGUUCUCGGAUGGAUUUGAGUAAGAGCAUACGGGGCCGGACCCGAAAGAAGGUGAACUAUGCCUGUAUAGGGUGAAGCCAGAGGAAACUCUGGUGGAGGCUCGCAGCGGUUCUGACGUGCAAAUCGAUCGUCAAAUAUGGGCAUGGGGGCGAAAGACUAAUCGAACCUUCUAGUAGCUGGGUUCCGCG